CCAUCAACUGGGCCUUUUGGCUAAGAUCAAGUGUAGUAUCUGUUCUUAUCAGUUACACACAUUUCUUUUAUGUGACAAACACCCUUUCCAGAAACAAACAAAAAAAAAUUGGAAGGAGUGGUUAUUUAUUUGGCUUAGAAUUCCAGGAUAUAGCACCCCACUUUGGGAGUUCAAUGAACU
Cricetulus griseus (Chinese hamster) is the source of this 180-nucleotide non-coding RNA. The record is from Rfam. Lineage: Eukaryota; Metazoa; Chordata; Mammalia; Rodentia; Cricetidae.